AGGGUUUGAUCCUGGCUCAGGACGAACGCUGGCGGCGUGCUUAACACAUGCAAGUCGAACGGGAUCCGAUGGUGCUUUGCAUUGUUGGUGAGAGUGGCGAACGGGUGAGUAACACGUGAGUAACCUGCCCCCUUCUUUUGGAUAACUGCACGAAAGUGUGGCUAAUACGAGAUAAUCUGCCUUUACCGCGUGGUUUGGGUGGGAAAUGCUUUUUUGUGGUGGGGGAUGGGCUCGCGGCCUAUCAGCUUGUUGGUGGGGUGAUGGCCUACCAAGGCGGUGACGGGUAGCCGGCUUGAGAGAGUGAACGGCCACACUGGAACUGAGACACGGUCCAGACUCCUACGGGAGGCAGCAGUGGGGAAUAUUGCACAAUGGAGGGAACUCUGAUGCAGCGACGCCGCGUGAGCGAAGAAGGUCUUCGGAUUGUAAAGCUCUGUCCUAAAGGAAGAUAAUGACAGUACUUUAGGAGGAAGCCCCGGCUAACUACGUGCCAGCAGCCGCGGUAAUUC
This 509-nucleotide ribosomal RNA is filed under the name uncultured Actinomyces sp. RNAcentral describes it as "bacterial SSU rRNA". It matches the Rfam family "Bacterial small subunit ribosomal RNA", at positions 8 to 526 of the family's 1533-position model. The record is from RNAcentral. Lineage: Bacteria; Bacillati; Actinomycetota; Actinomycetes; Actinomycetales; Actinomycetaceae.